Molecule: ribosomal RNA, 460 nt
Filed under: uncultured bacterium
Lineage: Bacteria
Description: partial 16S ribosomal RNA
Rfam family: Bacterial small subunit ribosomal RNA
Source: RNAcentral
CCUACGGGGGGCAGCAGUGAGGAAUAUUGGUCAAUGGACGAGAGUCUGAACCAGCCAAGUAGCGUGAAGGAUGACUGCCCUAUGGGUUGUAAACUUCUUUUAUAUGGGAAUAAAAUGUUCCACGUGUGGGAUUUUGUAUGUACCAUAUGAAUAAGGAUCGGCUAACUCCGUGCCAGCAGCCGCGGUAAUACGGAGGAUCCGAGCGUUAUCCGGAUUUAUUGGGUUUAAAGGGAGCGUAGGUGGAUUGUUAAGUCAGUUGUGAAAGUUUGCGGCUCAACCGGAAAAUUGCAGUUGAAACUGGCAGUCUUGAGUACAGUAGAGGUGGGCGGAAUUCGUGGUGUAGCGGUGAAAUGCGUAGAUAUCACGAAGAACUCCGAUUGCGAAGGCAGUUCACUGGACUGCAACUGACACUGAGGCUCGAAAGUGUGGGUAUCAAACAGGAUUAGAUACCCGAGUAGUC